GGCGAAAGCGGCUCGUUGAUCGCAACUGUCGCUGAGGGUCGAAAGCUAGGAGAACAAACAGAAUAGAUACCCUGGUAGUCCUAGCCCUAAACGAUCAGGACUGGCGUGUGCCCUGUACGGGGCUCGUGCCGUAGCUAACGCGUAAGUCAUGCGCCUGGGGAGUACGGUCGCAGGGCUGAAACUCAAAGGAAUUGACGGGGGCCCGCACAAGCGGUGGAACAUGUGGUUCAAUUCGACGCAACGCGAAGAACCUUACCUGGGCUUGAACCGCACCGGACCAUCUUUGGAAACAGGGACUUCCCGCAAGGGGCUGGUGUAGAGGUGCUGCAUGGCUGUCGUCAGCUCGUGCCGUGAGGUGUUGGGUUAAGUCCCGCAACGAGCGCAACCCUUACUCGUAGUUGCCACCCGCAAGGGGGAACUCUAUGAGGACUGCUCCGGAUAACGGAGAGGAAGGUGGGGAUGAGGUCAAGUCAGCAUGGCCUUUAUGUCCAGGGCCACACACGUGUUACAGUGCGCGCCACAAAGCGUCGCGAGCCCGCGAGGGGGAGCUAAUCGCAAAAAAGCGCGCUCAGUUCGGAUUGCAGUCUGCAACUCGACUGCAUGAAGCCGGAAUCGCUAGUAAUGGCGCAUCAGAACGGCGCCGCGAAUACGUUCCCGGGCCUUGUACACACCGCCCGUCACAUCACGAAAGUGAGCUGUACUAGAAGUCGCCAAGCCAACCGCAGGGAGGCAGGCGCCCAAGGUAUGACUCAUGAUUGGGGUGAAGCCUUUCAUAGUGGAUCC
RNAcentral lists this ribosomal RNA (783 nucleotides) under uncultured soil bacterium. RNAcentral's name for it is "bacterial SSU rRNA". It matches the Rfam family "Bacterial small subunit ribosomal RNA", at positions 714 to 1503 of the family's 1533-position model. The record is from RNAcentral.